GAGUUUGAUCGUGGCUCAGGAUGAACGCUGGCGGCGUGCCUAACACAUGCAAGUCGAACGAAGCAAUCGGGAUGAAGUUUUCGGAUGGAUUCCUGGUUGACUGAGUGGCGGACGGGUGAGUAACGCGUGGAUAACCUGCCUCACACUGGGGGAUAACAGUUAGAAAUGGCUGCUAAUACCGCAUAAGCGCACAGUACCGCAUGGUACGGUGUGAAAAACCCAGGUGGUGUGAGAUGGAUCCGCGUCUGAUUAGCCAGUUGGCGGGUACGGCCACCAAAGCGACGAUCAGUAGCCGACCUGA
This 301-nucleotide ribosomal RNA is filed under the name uncultured microorganism. Its description in RNAcentral is "bacterial SSU rRNA". It matches the Rfam family "Bacterial small subunit ribosomal RNA", at positions 9 to 295 of the family's 1533-position model. The record is from RNAcentral.